CACUCCUGCGGGAGGCAGCAGUGGGGAAUUUUGGACAAUGGGCGAAAGCCUGAUCCAGCAAUGCCGCGUGCAGGAUGAAGGCCUUCGGGUUGUAAACUGCUUUUGUACGGAACGAAAAAGCUCCUUCUAAUACAGGGGGCCCAUGACGGUACCGUAAGAAUAAGCACCGGCUAACUACGUGCCAGCAGCCGCGGUAAUACGUAGGGUGCGAGCGUUAAUCGGAAUUACUGGGCGUAAAGCGUGCGCAGGCGGUUAUGUAAGACAGAUGUGAAAUCCCCGGGCUCAACCUGGGAACUGCAUUUGUGACUGCAUGGCUAGAGUACGGUAGAGGGGGAUGGAAUUCCGCGUGUAGCAGUGAAAUGCGUAGAUAUGCGGAGGAACACCGAUGGCGAAGGCAAUCCCCUGGACCUGUACUGACGCUCAUGCACGAAAGCGUGGGGAGCAAACAGGAUUAGAAACCCUUGUAGUCCCAUG
RNAcentral lists this ribosomal RNA (474 nucleotides) under uncultured organism. RNAcentral describes it as "partial 16S ribosomal RNA". It matches the Rfam family "Bacterial small subunit ribosomal RNA", at positions 334 to 799 of the family's 1533-position model. The record is from RNAcentral.